Molecule: long non-coding RNA, 1746 nt
Organism: Ictalurus punctatus (channel catfish)
Lineage: Eukaryota; Metazoa; Chordata; Actinopteri; Siluriformes; Ictaluridae
Source: Ensembl
CGCGAAUUUUAUGCCGCGGUGGCAUUUUCUUUUCGUUUCGGUUAUUGAGGACGCGUGCUCGCUUUCGUACAGGAUUAUGUUUUUUUUUGCUAUCGUUAAACCUAACGAUAUAGGAUAUUUAAUAAGAGUUUUUAAAAUUAAAUCAGGCACGGGUUAAUUCCCCCCCCAUUGUGUUCUUUGUAAGGGGGGGCGGGAAACAGGAUGCACGAGCCACGUGCACACAUUUCAGUAAUUAGCUGGAGAGAAGAUGAGGAUGAGCACCAUGUGCUGGCUGAGGUAGUGCUUUGUGCUGUUGGUCGGGUCGCUCCUCUGCCCGCUGAUGGAGAUGACGGCGCAAAACACUGCCUUGCUAGAGCUGGUGAUGAACCGCAUAUAAUCUACAAGACCUACACACCAGAUUUACAAGAUUUACACACCAGUCAUUUAUGUUUUUAUAACUCAAAUUCAAACCUGGGCUUUAUUAUAAAUAAAUGUGAUCCCACAUCCGUGUGUGUGUCCAGUGUCUUCUCUGUACCAGGUUCUGAGGCCAUUUCUUCUGUCCACUUAUUUUUGAGCUUUUCCCAUUUGUGUAGUUUUGUGUGCAUUUUCUGAUUGGUUUAUUGAUCUUAACCAGGGACAUUUUUUAGUAAUCAGUUUUUCUACCGUCAUCGUCAUUAACUGAAUAUCUGUUCUUAAAAAUAAAUAACAGGCACUGUUUCAGUCACAAUUUGCUUACCAGGAUUACGAUACGUUAUUAGCCGUUUUACAUGCAGUUAGCAUGCCAGCUCGGUUAUGAGUUGAAGUAAAUAAGUUAAAUUGAACUAUAAAAUAAUGUUACAUUAAAAAAAAGUCAGCUAUGUAGCCAUACAUAAAUAUUACAUUUGUAACGCAAAAUUCAGUAGCAAACUUGAAGUACAUUUUCCCUGAGUGAUUAAUCCAGUUAUGGUGACUAGCUAACAUGUACUAGAAAGUUGUCGGUUGUGAUGUUUCUGCUUAUUUAAGUAGCUUAGAAUAUCUAAAUUAACCCUAAAGUAGGCACAAAUGAAUUGCCAUGGUUAAUCCAAUUUCGAAUUUUAUUUGUAUAGCACAUAUAACUAUAGACAUUUGUCACAAAGCAGCUUUACAGAAAUCUGAUUGUAGAUUAAUGAACAAGCCAGAAGCAACAGUGUCAAUGGAGGGGGAAACUCCCUGAGAUCUGAGAUUAUAGCUAAUUAAAGUAUAUAGGUGUGUGAAAAGAAGAUAAGCAAUAAACAGCACUGUUGAAAGGAUGACCUUUUGUGAAGGUAGCCUGGGAUGAUCACAAGACAAGUCCCUGAUUAGGUAUAAACAAAACAGAAGGCUCCAAGUAUAAACUCAGCAUCGGGAUGAAUCAGGCAGGUACCAUUGUAGUAGUACUGUAUUGCCUCCAGUUCUGUUUGUAAAGAGAAUGCCCAUUUUAUUUGUGGAAAAAGACCUGACCUUUCUAUAGCCUACAUGAUAUAGCCUACAGAUCCACAUAUGGGGUCCUCUGAUAUAUACUGUGUGCAUAAUCGGUGCUGUUACUGAGUCAGUGUUGGGUACACUGGUCUUGCAGAACCAUGACUGGUAUCUCAAAAUGUAGGCAAGUAUGUUAUAUGAUACUUGACCAAAUGUACCUUGUAACUAGAUUUGUCCUGCUUUAAUAAGUGAAAUCCAAUCUUCCUAGUCAGGCCGAAAAAAUCUGCAGUGUGUCUAGGUCUCAAAGUAUUCUUCAUUUAUCAUCAAUAUAAGAACGGUUUUUGAUUAAUC